UCUGCCCACGUUGGGGAGUAGCCGCUGCCGGCUGGCAGGGCCGUGUCAACAUCCUUGCGCAGUUGCGCAUGGCACGGUCGGCGGUCCGAGUGACCGGAUUGGCGAGACCAAACGUUCCCGGACGGCCUCGAUGCAGGCCAUCGCGGGGCGUGUGGAUCGCU
RNAcentral lists this small RNA (161 nucleotides) under Rhodovastum atsumiense. RNAcentral's name for it is "Manganese Mn2+ riboswitch aptamer (yybP-ykoY)". It matches the Rfam family "Manganese Mn2+ riboswitch aptamer (yybP-ykoY)". From Rfam's summary of the family: This RNA was originally discovered in E. coli during a large scale screen and was named SraF. The family was later found to exist upstream of related families of protein genes in many bacteria, including the the yybP and ykoK genes in B. subtilis. The specific functions of these proteins are unknown, but this structured RNA element may be involved in their genetic regulation as a riboswitch. Lineage: Bacteria; Pseudomonadati; Pseudomonadota; Alphaproteobacteria; Acetobacterales; Acetobacteraceae. The record is from Rfam by way of RNAcentral.